RNAcentral lists this long non-coding RNA (237 nucleotides) under Lathyrus oleraceus (garden pea). RNAcentral describes it as "Pisum sativum (pea) long non-coding RNA (PSAT_LNC001306)". Lineage: Eukaryota; Viridiplantae; Streptophyta; Magnoliopsida; Fabales; Fabaceae. The record is from RNAcentral.
CAAAUACACACUCCAAAUGAAUUGGCGCCCCCACUCAUUCCUUGCACAUGGGCGCCAAUUCAAGUCGAGACACCAUGCAUUCAGACCUCGAAACCAAGCAAUCAGACCUAGGUCUUGCAUGCAUGUCCCUAUGGAGGCGCCAAUUUGAAUGGAGACCCCUCUUAAAGGUUGUACAUGGUCGCCAAUUCAUGUGGAGACACCAUGCAAGCACAACUUUUCAUGCUCCCAUCCAUUUGC